UACGUAGGGGGCAAGCGUUGUCCGGAAUCAUUGGGCGUAAAGAGCGCGUAGGCGGCCCGGUAAGUCCGCUGUGAAAGUCGGGGGCUCAACCCUCGAAUGCCGGUGGAUACUGUCGGGCUAGAGUGCGGAAGAGGCGAGUGGAAUUCCUGGUGUAGCGGUGAAAUGCGCAGAUAUCAGGAGGAACACCAAUUGCGAAGGCAGCUCGCUGGGACGUAACUGACGCUGAGACGCGAAAGCGUGGGGAGCAAACAGG
Molecule: ribosomal RNA, 253 nt
Filed under: uncultured bacterium
Lineage: Bacteria
Description: partial 16S ribosomal RNA
Rfam family: Bacterial small subunit ribosomal RNA
Source: RNAcentral